This 628-nucleotide ribosomal RNA is filed under the name Ophiostoma bicolor. RNAcentral's name for it is "eukaryotic LSU rRNA". It matches the Rfam family "Eukaryotic large subunit ribosomal RNA", at positions 1 to 652 of the family's 3401-position model. Lineage: Eukaryota; Fungi; Ascomycota; Sordariomycetes; Ophiostomatales; Ophiostomataceae. The record is from RNAcentral.
UGACCUCGGAUCAGGUAGGACUACCCGCUGAACUUAAGCAUAUCAAUAAGCGGAGGAAAAGAAACCAACAGGGAUUGCCCCAGUAACGGCGAGUGAAGCGGCAACAGCUCAAAUUUGAAAUCUGGCCCUCGGGUCCGAGUUGUAAUUUGGAGAGGAUGCUUCUGGCGCGGCGCCGUCCGAGUUCCUUGGAACAGGACGCCAUAGAGGGUGAGAGCCCCGUACGGGCGGACGCCUAGCCUUUGUGAAGCUCCUUCGACGAGUCGAGUAGUUUGGGAAUGCUGCUCAAAAUGGGAGGUAAAUUUCUUCUAAAGCUAAAUACCGGCCAGAGACCGAUAGCGCACAAGUAGAGUGAUCGAAAGAUGAAAAGCACUUUGAAAAGAGGGUUAAAAAGUACGUGAAAUUGUUGAAAGGGAAGCGCCUGUGACCAGACUUGCUGCCCGCGGAUCAUCCGGCGUUCUUCGCCGGUGCGCUCCGCGGGCGGCAGGCCAGCAUCGGUUCUCCUGGGGGGCUAAAGGUUGCGGGAACGUGGCUCCUACGGGAGUGUUAUAGCCCGCUUCGUCAUGCCUCCGGGGGGACCGAGGACCGCGCUUCGGCAAGGAUGCUGGCGUAAUGGUCACCGGCGACCCGU